RNAcentral lists this ribosomal RNA (526 nucleotides) under uncultured bacterium. RNAcentral describes it as "partial 16S ribosomal RNA". It matches the Rfam family "Bacterial small subunit ribosomal RNA", at positions 355 to 874 of the family's 1533-position model. The record is from RNAcentral.
UGGGGAAUUUUGGACAAUGGGCGAAAGCCUGAUCCAGCAAUGCCGCGUGUGUGAAGAAGGCCUUCGGGUUGUAAAGCACUUUUGUCCGGAAAGAAAUCCUCUGGGUUAAUACCUCGGGGGGAUGACGGUACCGGAAGAAUAAGCACCGGCUAACUACGUGCCAGCAGCCGCGGUAAUACGUAGGGUGCAAGCGUUAAUCGGAAUUACUGGGCGUAAAGCGUGCGCAGGCGGUUUUGUAAGACGGAUGUGAAAUCCCCGGGCUUAACCUGGGAACUGCAUUCGUGACUGCAAGGCUAGAGUAUGGCAGAAGGGGGUAGAAUUCCACGUGUAGCAGUGAAAUGCGUAGAGAUGUGGAGGAAUACCGAUGGCGAAGGCAGCCCCCUGGGCCAAUACUGACGCUCAUGCACGAAAGCGUGGGGAGCAAACAGGAUUAGAUACCCUGGUAGUCCACGCCCUAAACGAUGUCAACUAGUUGUUGGGGAUUCAUUUCCUUAGUAACGUAGCUAACGCGUGAAGUUGACCGCCU